RNAcentral lists this ribosomal RNA (216 nucleotides) under Campeiostachys nutans. RNAcentral describes it as "Elymus nutans partial small subunit ribosomal RNA". The stretch from base 40 to 216 matches the Rfam family "Eukaryotic small subunit ribosomal RNA", at positions 686 to 864 of the family's 1831-position model. Lineage: Eukaryota; Viridiplantae; Streptophyta; Magnoliopsida; Poales; Poaceae. The record is from RNAcentral.
GGGUUAGUAGGUUGGUCAUGCCUCUGGUAUGUACUGGUCUCACUGAUUCCUCCUUCCUGAUGAACCUUAAUGCCAUUAAUUCGGUGUUGUAGGAAAUCUGGACCGUUACUUUGAAAAAAUUAGAGUGUUUAAAGCAGGCUAACGCCUGAAUACAUUAGCAUGGAAUAAUGAAAUAGGACGUUCGAUCCUAUUUUGUUGGUUUCUAGGAUUGACGUA